This 280-nucleotide ribosomal RNA is filed under the name Nostoc sp. ARC11. RNAcentral's name for it is "partial 16S ribosomal RNA". It matches the Rfam family "Bacterial small subunit ribosomal RNA", at positions 138 to 423 of the family's 1533-position model. The record is from RNAcentral. Lineage: Bacteria; Bacillati; Cyanobacteriota; Cyanophyceae; Nostocales; Nostocaceae.
CUGGGACAACCACUGGAAACGGUGGCUAAUACCGUGUAUGUGCCCUUCGGGGUGAAAGGUUAACUGCCUGAAGAUGAGCUCGCGUACUGAGUUAGCUAGUUGGAAGUGUAAAGGACUCCUCAAGGCGACGAUCAGUAGCUGGUCUGAGAGAGGACGAUCAGCCACACUGGGACUGAGACACGGCCCAGACUCCUACGGGAGGCAGCAGUGGGGUAAUUUUCCGCCAAUGGGCGAAAGCCUGACGGAGCAAUAUCCGCGUGAGGGAGGAAGGCUCUUGAGG